UGGGAGAUCGUCUAAUGGUAGGACUCCAGAUUCUGGAUCUGGCUAUCGGGGUUCGAAUCCCUGUCUCCCAGCCA
RNAcentral lists this transfer RNA (74 nucleotides) under Blastocatellia bacterium. RNAcentral describes it as "tRNA-Gln". It matches the Rfam family "tRNA". From Rfam's summary of the family: Transfer RNA (tRNA) molecules are approximately 80 nucleotides in length. RNAcentral also lists the same sequence under 2 other names. Lineage: Bacteria; Pseudomonadati; Acidobacteriota; Blastocatellia. The record is from RNAcentral.